GACGAACGCUGGCGGCGCGCCUAACACAUGCAAGUCGAACGGAGCGUGCGGGAAGAUCCCUUUCGGGGGUGAUUUUUGCAUUGCUUAGUGGCGAACGGGUGAGUAACACGUGAGCAACCUACCUCCGAGCGGGGGACAACAUUUGGAAACAGAUGCUAAUACCGCAUAAGACCACAGCCGGACAUCCGGCAGUGGCCAAAGGAUUUAUCCACUUGGAGAUGGGCUCGCGCCUGAUUAGCUAGUUGGUGAGGUAAUGGCUCACCAAGGCAACGAUCAGUAGCCGGACUGAGAGGUCGAUCGGCCACAUUGGGACUGAGACACGGCCCAGACUCCUACGGGAGGCAGCAGUGGGGAAUAUUGCACAAUGGGCGAAAGCCUGAUGCAGCGACGCCGCGUGAGGGAAGAAGGUUUUCGGAUUGUAAACCUCUGUCUUCGGGGACGAUAAUGACGGUACCCGAGGAGGAAGCCACGGCUAACUACGUGCCAGCCGCCGCCGUAACAC
RNAcentral lists this ribosomal RNA (502 nucleotides) under uncultured bacterium. RNAcentral's name for it is "bacterial SSU rRNA". It matches the Rfam family "Bacterial small subunit ribosomal RNA", at positions 28 to 526 of the family's 1533-position model. The record is from RNAcentral.